GCACAUUCGGAGCUCCUCGGCCAUUUUUUUAAAAAACAACGUUGUUUUCGAUUAAAUGUCCGAGAAGUUCCGAAUGGGUCAGGCAAAGACCAAUAAUGGCGGCGCCCUGUGAACACAACAACAACGACACUAUAAGAUUUCACAAGUUUCCUGUUCUGAUGUUGGAAGGCGUUUCCUGCUCAUUGACAUACAUUAGGACAAAAAUGGUGGUGCCCAAUGGCCACUUUAAGACCAAGAGAUCAACCUAGGGACCAAAUCGCUGGAAUGGGAUAGUUUUGAUACCUCGUCUGGCCAAAACUGUAGUCCAAAUACCAGUUUACGUGUGCCAAGUUCCGAGAGCUCAGUCAGUGAGGCUAUGACCAUUCCGAUCCAGGAUAAAAUGUAAGAUGACCUUCGCAACUGAUGUGGCCGAGCAGACACAAAGACACAGACUCAAUCUAUUUAUCUUACAAUGUAAAAAUUGUUGUCAAUAAAAAGCCUUAAUCCUU
Molecule: long non-coding RNA, 488 nt
Organism: Mya arenaria
Lineage: Eukaryota; Metazoa; Mollusca; Bivalvia; Myida; Myidae
Exons: 4
Source: RefSeq, a predicted model, not a curated record